RNAcentral lists this ribosomal RNA (482 nucleotides) under uncultured bacterium. RNAcentral describes it as "partial 16S ribosomal RNA". It matches the Rfam family "Bacterial small subunit ribosomal RNA", at positions 28 to 507 of the family's 1533-position model. The record is from RNAcentral.
GAUGAACGCUGGCGGCGUGCUUAACACAUGCAAGUCGAACGAAGCAUUUGCGACAGAUUUUUUUCGGAUGGAAGUGGUUUUUGACUGAUUGGCGGACGGUUGAGUAACGCGUGGGUAACCUGCUUUGUACUGGGGGUUAGAGGUGGGAAACGGUUGGAAAAACCGCAUAAGCGCACAAUGUGGAUGGAAUGGGGGGGAAAAACUCCGGGGGAAUAAGAUGGACCCGCGUCUGAUUAGCUAGUUGGUGAGAUAACAGCCCACCAAGGCGACGAUCAGUAGCCGACCUGAGAGGGUGACCGGCCACAUUGGGACUGAGACACGGCCCAGACUCCUACGGGAGGCAGCAGUGGGGAAUAUUGCACAAUGGAGGAAACUCUGAUGCAGCGACGCCGCGUGAGUGAAGAAGUAAUUCGUUAUGUAAAGCUCUAUCAGCAGGGAAGAUAGUGACGGUACCUGACGAAGAAGCUCCGGCUAAAUACGUG